UCAAACAGCUUCCAAAAUAGACAAAGCAACAUUGAAGAUGAUUCGAUGUUGCUGUAGUAGUUGCCAUAAGUCGUAAGCCAUGUUUAUAGUGUUGUAGUUGGCUAUGGCAAGAGCAAUUCAAUUAACUCAAGGUGGCCAACAAUAGGCAACAGGCAAUGACAAAACGCAGAUAAGCAUUUAACGACACAUUUGUGUAUGUUUUCCACGUUGCCAAAGUCGCAUAGCAGAGUUACAAGCGCUGACAAAGCCAAUUAGCAACAUCUAACGGUAGUUCAAGCAACUUCUUAUAAAUAAAUAACGCAAAACGAAAGAGAAAGACAGACACACGAAAAAGUCAAAGCUUAGACUAUACAUACAUACACAUACACGCAGUUAUAAAUAUAUAAAUAUAUAUAAACAACAAGGAAAUGACGUUUUCAGAUUAUUUUUGGACGCUUAACCAUCGCGAAUAAUAUUUUACCGAUUUUUGAACUAGCUGCUAUAGCGGAGGGCAGCAUAUCUGUGUAUAUACUAUUUACUGUAAAAAAAACUAACCAAACGAGUUCAAGCGAUGAAAUCUGCUUUUUUUUGCAACGACGACGGCAUUGAAACUAGGCAUGAGUCACGCGCGUUUUGAACACAUUGCGAGAGCAAAGUCAGCCUUUAUCAGCUGUUGGGACCUGCUCAAACUAAAAGACACGCAGCGACCAUUAACUGCGCAUCUAAAUAUAAAAUAAAAUCAAUAAACUAAAUAAGAAAUAGACAACGCUAACGUCACGAGUAUUAACGGAACGCGAGUGGGUUGGAUGGAUGUAAGUAGGUGGAUAAUGCCGGACAGCGACAACAACCGUUGUGUUGUGGCAACCGGGCGUGCGUUUUGUUCUUAUUGGGGCCAGCAUUCCAAUACACAGACAUGCGCCUUGUAACUUCCAGCCAUGUAACUGUGUGGGUAGAGCUAGUAACGGUGUUCCACAACAGCAACAAAAACAACAGCAGCAGCAAUGAAAUAGCUAGACGGGGGCGUUUGGGUCACACGCUGCACAAGAUUUGAAAGGCGUUCACUGACGCUGCGAAAAAAGGGUUACCAGCCAUAUAAAAUAAUAUAUGUACUAACUAACACAAAUAUACUCUCACACAAAGGGGUAUUUAAUAUUCCAA
This is a long non-coding RNA of Drosophila mojavensis, 1137 nucleotides long. RefSeq lists it as uncharacterized. Lineage: Eukaryota; Metazoa; Arthropoda; Insecta; Diptera; Drosophilidae. The transcript has 2 exons. The record is from RefSeq and is a predicted model, not a curated record.